ACACUUACCUGGCAGGGGAGAUACCAUGAUCACGAAGGUGAUUUCCCCAGGGUGAGCCUUAUCCAUUGCACUUGGGAUGUGCUGACCCCUUCGAUUUCCCCAAAUGCAGGAAACUCGACUGCAUAAUUUGUGGUAGUGGGGACUGUGUUCGUGAUCCUAC
Cricetulus griseus (Chinese hamster) is the source of this 160-nucleotide small nuclear RNA. Its record names the gene U1. It matches the Rfam family "U1 spliceosomal RNA". From Rfam's summary of the family: U1 is a small nuclear RNA (snRNA) component of the spliceosome (involved in pre-mRNA splicing). Its 5' end forms complementary base pairs with the 5' splice junction, thus defining the 5' donor site of an intron. The record is from Ensembl. Lineage: Eukaryota; Metazoa; Chordata; Mammalia; Rodentia; Cricetidae.